GAAGGGGUGUAUUUAUUAGAUAAAAAACCAACGCCCUUCGGGGCUUCUUGGUGAUUCAUGAUAACUUCACGGAUCGCAUGGCCUUGCGCCGGCGACGGUUCAUUCAAAUUUCUGCCCUAUCAACUUUCGAUGGUAAGGUAUUGGCUUACCAUGGUUUCAACGGGUAACGGGGAAUUAGGGUUCGAUUCCGGAGAGGGAGCCUGAGAAACGGCUACCACAUCCAAGGAAGGCAGCAGGCGCGCAAAUUACCCAAUCCCGACACGGGGAGGUAGUGACAAUAAAUACUGAUACAGGGCUCUUUUGGGUCUUGUAAUUGGAAUGAGUACAAUUUAAACCUCUUAACGAGGAACAAUUGGAGGGCAAGUCUGGUGCCAGCAGCCGCGGUAAUUCCAGCUCCAAUAGCGUAUAUUAAAGUUGUUGCAGUUAAAAAGCUCGUAGUUGAAACUUGGGCCUGGCUGGCAGGUCCGCCUCACCGCGUGUACUUGUCCGGCCGGGC
This 496-nucleotide ribosomal RNA is filed under the name Pleosporales sp. Its description in RNAcentral is "SSU rRNA". It matches the Rfam family "Eukaryotic small subunit ribosomal RNA", at positions 195 to 691 of the family's 1831-position model. The record is from RNAcentral. Lineage: Eukaryota; Fungi; Ascomycota; Dothideomycetes; Pleosporales.